This 492-nucleotide ribosomal RNA is filed under the name uncultured bacterium. RNAcentral's name for it is "partial 16S ribosomal RNA". It matches the Rfam family "Bacterial small subunit ribosomal RNA", at positions 28 to 507 of the family's 1533-position model. The record is from RNAcentral.
GAUGAACGCUAGCUACAGGCUUAACACAUGCAAGUCGAGGGGAAACGACAUCGAAAGCUUGCUUUUGAUGGGCGUCGACCGGCGCACGGGUGAGUAACGCGUAUCCAACCUGCCCAUCACUUGGGGAUAACCUUGCGAAUGUAAGACUAAUACCCAAUGAUAUCUCUAGAAGACAUCUGAAAGAGAUUAAAGAUUUAUCGGUGAUGGAUGGGGAUGCGUCUGAUUAGCUUGUUGGCGGGGUAACGGCCCACCAAGGCAACGAUCAGUAGGGGUUCUGAGAGGAAGGUCCCCCACAUUGGAACUGAGACACGGUCCAAACUCCUACGGGAGGCAGCAGUGAGGAAUAUUGGGCAAUGGGCGAGAGCCUGAACCAGCCAAGUAGCGUGCAGGAAGACGGCCCUAUGGGUUGUAAACUGCUUUUAUAAGGGAAUAAAGUGAGAGUCGUGACUCUUUUUGUAUGUACCUUAUGAAUAAGGACCGGCUAAUUCCGUG